Molecule: ribosomal RNA, 253 nt
Filed under: uncultured bacterium
Lineage: Bacteria
Description: partial 16S ribosomal RNA
Rfam family: Bacterial small subunit ribosomal RNA
Source: RNAcentral
UACGUAGGGGGCAAGCGUUGUCCGGAAUCAUUGGGCGUAAAGAGCGUGUAGGCGGCCAGAUAAGUCCGCUGUGAAAACUCGAGGCUCAACUUCGAGCUGUCGGUGGAAACUUUCUGGCUAGAGUCCGGAAGAGGAGAAUGGAAUUCCUGGUGUAGCGGUGAAAUGCGCAGAUAUCAGGAAGAACACCCGUGGCGAAGGCGGUUCUCUGGGACGGUACUGACGCUGAGACGCGAAAGCGUGGGGAGCGAACAGG